CAGUAGCCGCGGUAAUACGUAGGGUGCGAGCGUUAAUCGGAAUUUCUGGGCGUAAAGCGUGCGCAGGCGGUUGUGUAAGACAGGUGUGAAAUCCCCGGGCUUAACCUGGGAACUGCGCUUGUGACUGCACAGCUAGAGUAUGGCAGAGGGGGGUGGAAUUCCACGUGUAGCAGUGAAAUGCGUAGAGAUGUGGAGGAACACCGAUGGCGAAGGCAGCCCCCUGGGCCAAUACUGACGCUCAUGCACGAAAGCGUGGGGAGCAAACAGGAUUAGAUACCCCCGUAGUCCCUGUCUCUUAUAC
RNAcentral lists this ribosomal RNA (301 nucleotides) under uncultured bacterium. Its description in RNAcentral is "partial 16S ribosomal RNA". It matches the Rfam family "Bacterial small subunit ribosomal RNA", at positions 509 to 807 of the family's 1533-position model. The record is from RNAcentral.